RNAcentral lists this ribosomal RNA (253 nucleotides) under uncultured bacterium. RNAcentral describes it as "partial 16S ribosomal RNA". It matches the Rfam family "Bacterial small subunit ribosomal RNA", at positions 524 to 776 of the family's 1533-position model. The record is from RNAcentral.
UACAGAGGGUGCAAGCGUUAAUCGGAUUUACUGGGCGUAAAGCGCGCGUAGGUGGCUAAUUAAGUCAAAUGUGAAAUCCCCGAGUUUAACUUGGGAAUUGCAUUCGAUACUGGUUAGCUAGAGUAUGGGAGAGGAUGGUAGAAUUCCAGGUGUAGCGGUGAAAUGCGUAGAGAUCUGGAGGAAUACCGAUGGCGAAGGCAGCCAUCUGGCCUAAUACUGACACUGAGGUGCGAAAGCAUGGGGAGCAAACAGG